RNAcentral lists this ribosomal RNA (460 nucleotides) under uncultured bacterium. Its description in RNAcentral is "partial 16S ribosomal RNA". It matches the Rfam family "Bacterial small subunit ribosomal RNA", at positions 338 to 795 of the family's 1533-position model. The record is from RNAcentral.
CCUACGGGAGUCAGCAGUGAGGAAUAUUGGUCACUGGACGAGAGUCUGAACCAGCCAAGUCGCGUGAAGGAUGACUGCCCUAUGGGUUGUAAACUUCUUUUAUCUGGGAAUAAAAUGUUCCACGUGUGGGAUUUUGUAUGUACCAUAUGAAUAAGGAUCGGCUAACUCCGUGCCAACAGCCGCGGUAAUACGGAGGAUCCGAGCGUUAUCCGGAUUUAUUGGGUUUAAAGGGAGCGUAGGUGGAUUGUUAAGUCAGUUGUGAAAGUUUGCGGCUCAACCGUAAAAUUGCAGUUGAAACUGGCAGUAUUGAGUACAGUAGAGGUGGGCGGAAGUCGUGGGGUAGCGGUGAAAUGCUUAGAUAUCACGAAGAACUCCGAUUGCGAAGGCAGUUCACUGGACUGCAACUGACACUGAGGCACGAAAGUGUGGGUAUCAAACAGGAUUAGAUACCCUGGUAGUC